UGGGGUGGGGCUCAGUGGUAGAGUGCUUGCCUAGCAUGCGUGAGGCACUGGGUUUGAUCCUCAGCACCACAU
Molecule: transfer RNA, 72 nt
Filed under: Marmota marmota marmota (Alpine marmot)
Lineage: Eukaryota; Metazoa; Chordata; Mammalia; Rodentia; Sciuridae
Also listed under: 1 other name
Rfam family: tRNA
About the family: Transfer RNA (tRNA) molecules are approximately 80 nucleotides in length.
Source: Rfam by way of RNAcentral